CUCCUGUAGUUCUGUAUGGGGCUUCCCAAUAACGUUUGGGAAAAGAGAAGAGAGGGCAGCUCUGUGUGGUAAUUUUGUAUCUGUGACUUUGCCAAAUUCAUUGAUGAGCUCUAACAGCUUUCUGGUAGAGUCUUUAGCAUUCUCUAGGUAUAGUAUCAUGUCAUCUGCAGAUAGUGGUAGUUUUACGUCUUCCUUUCCAGCUUGGAUUGCUUUUAUCUCUUUUACUUCUCUGAUUGCUGUGGCUAGGACAUCCAAGACGAUGUUGAAUGCUAGUGGGUGGCGAGAGCAGACAUCCUUGUCUUGUUCCUGAUCUCAGUGGGAAUUCUUUCAGCUUUUCACCACUGAGAGUAAUGUUAGCUGUGGGUUUGUCAUAUUAUGUUGAGGUAGGUUCCCUCUAUGCCCACUUUCUGAAGGGUUUUUUAAUCAGAAAUGGGGGUUGUGUUUUGUCAAGGGUUUUUCUGCGUCUAAUGAGAGGAUCAUAUGGUUUUUCUUCUUCAGUUUGUUAAUGCGGUGUAUCACACUGAUGGAUUUGUGGAUAGUGAAGAACCCUUGCAUCCCUGGGAUAAAUCCCACUUGGUCAUGAUGUACAAUCCUUUUGAAUGUAUUGUUGGAUGCGGUUUGCUGGCAUGUUGUUGCGGAUUUUUGCCUGUAGUUUUUUGUGUGGUACCUUUGUCUGGUUUUGGUAGCAGGUUGAUGGUGGCCUCAUGGAAUGAGUUUGGGAGUGUCCCUUCCUCUACGAUCUUUUGGAAUAGUUUCAGAAGAAUAGGUGUUAGCUCUUCGCUAAGAGUGUUUGGUGGAAUUUGCCUGUGAAGCCGCCUGGUCCUGGACUUUUGUUUGUUGGAAGUGUUUUAAUCACAGUUUCCAUUUCAGGACUUGUGAUGGGGCCGUUCAUCUUUUCUAUUUCAUCUUGGUUUAGUCUUGGAAGAUUGUCCUUUUCUAAGAAUGCGUCCAUUUCUUCUAGGUUUUCCGUUUUAUCGGCGUAUGGUUGCAUGUAGCAGUCUCUUCUGAUCCUUUGUGUUUCUGUGAUGUGCGUUGUUACUUCUCCUUUUUCAUUUCUAAUUUUACUGCUUUGCGGCGUCCUCUCUCUUUUUUUCUUGAUGAGUCUGGCUAAAGGGUUUGUCAGCUUUGUUGAUCUUGUCAAAGAACCAGCUUUUCGUUGCAUUGAUCUUUUCUGUGGUUUUCUUUGUUUCCCUUUCAUUGAUUUCUGCUCGAUCUUUAUGAUUUCUUUGCUUCUGCUGACUUUAGGUCUUGUCUGUUCUUCUCUCUUGAGCUGCUUUAGAUGUAAAGUUAGCUUGUUUAUUUGCUUUUUCUUGUUUCCUGAGGUAGGCUUGUAUGGCUAUAAACUUUCCUUAGAACUGCUUUUGCUGCAUCCCAUAGGUUUUGGAGUGUUGCAUCUUUGUUGUCAUUUGCUUCCGGGUAUUUUUUAAUUUCCUCUUUGAUUUCUCCAGGGAUCCAUUGGUUGUUUCGUAGCGUGUUGUUUAGUCUCCACGUCUUUGUGGUUUUUUGCAGUUUGGUUUUUUUUUUCCCCCUGUUUGCUGAUUUCCAGUCAUAGAGCGUUGUGGUGGGAAAAGAUGCUUGAUAUGAUUUCAAUUUUCUUAAGGUUACCGAGGCUUGAUUUGUAGCCCAGGAUGUGAUCAGUCUUAGAGACUGUUCCAUGUGCACUUGAGAAGAGUGUGUUGCUUUUUGGAUGGCAUGUCCUAUAAGUAGCUAUUAAGUCCAUCUGGUCUAAGGCUUCAUUCAGGGCCUGUGUUUCCUUAUUGAUUUUUCUGUGUGGAUGAUGUGUCCAUUGCUGUAAGUGGGGCGUUAAAGUCCCCCACUAUGAUUGUGUUAUCGUCGGUUUGUCCUUUUAAGGUUGUUAGCCGUUGCCUUACAUAUUGUGGUGAUCCUAUGUCGGGUGUGUAGAUCCUUAAAAUUGUUAUAUCUUCUUCUUGGGUUGAUCCUUUGAUCAUUAGGUAGUGACCUUCCUUGUCUCUUAAAAUAGUCUUCAUUUUAAGGUCUAUGUUGUCCGAUAUGAGUAGUGCUACUGGAGCUUUCUUUUGACUCCCGCUUGCAUGGGAUAUUUUCAUCCAUCUUCUCUCUUUGAAUUUGUAUAUGUGCCUGGAAGUGAAGAGGGUCUCUUGAAGACAGCAUAUAUGUGGGUCUUGUUUUUGUAUCCAUUCGGCCAGUCUGUGUCUUUUGGCUGGGGCGUUUAGUCCAUUCACAUUUAAGGUAAUUAUUGGUAUGUGUGUUCUUAUUGCCAUUUUAUUAAUUGCUUUGGAUUUGUUUUUGCUGCUCUUUUUCCUUCUCUUCUUCUCUUGUGCUCCCCUCUUGUGGUUUGAUGACGAUCUUUAGUGUUGUAUUUGAGUUGGUUUUUCUUAUUUGUUUGUGUAUCAGUUGUAGAUUUUUGAUUUGCAGCUGCUGUGAAGUUUUGAUAGGAGAGUCUAAACAUACACGAGAUUGUUUUACGUUGUUGGUCUCUUAAUUGCGAGGGCAUCUCCAGUGUCCUGCAUCUGUGCCCUCCUCUUCUGACUUUGGUGGCAUAAUUGUGUGUGGACGAUUUUGUAUCUUUACUGUAUAUUAUACCUUUGCUGGUGAGCCUUGCCAUUUGUGGUAUUUUUGUUUCUGGUUGUGGCCUUUUCUUUCCUGCCUGGAGAAGUUCCUUUAGUAUUUGUCGUGAAGCUGGUUUAGCGUUGCUGAAUUCUCUUAGCUUUUGCUUCUCUGUGAAGCUUUUGAUUUCUCCUUCAAAUCUGAAUGAGAGCCUGGCUGGGUAAAGUAAUCUCGGCUGGAGGUUUUUUCCUUUCAUCACGUUAAGUAUGUCAUGCCACUCCCUGCUGGCCUGCAGAGCUUCUGCUGAGAAAUCUGCCGAUAGCCUUAUCGGGGUUCCCUUGUAUGUUAUUUGUUUCUUUUCCCCGGCUGCUUUCAAGCUUUUCUCUUUGUCUUUAAUUUUGGUCGGUUUGAUUAGUAUGUGUCUCGGGGUGUUCCUCCUUGGGUUUAUUUUAUAUGGUACUCGUGGUGCUUCCUGGAUUUGAGUGAGUGGUUCCUCUCCCAUGUUAGGGAAGUUUUCGGCUGUUAUCUCUUUGAAUAUUCUUUCUGUCCCUUUCUCUCUCUCUUUUCCUUCUGGCACCCCUAUGAUACAGCGUUUAACGUUGUCCCAGAGUUCUCUGAGCCUCUCUUCAUUUGUUUCCCGUCCUUUUUCUCUUUUCUGUUCUGCAUCAGCGAUUUCCACUAGUCUGUCCUCCACCUGGCUUAUUCAUUCUUCUGCCUCCUGUAUUCUGCUGUUGGCUGCUUCUAAGUGAACUUUUUAUUUCAGUUAACUGUAUUUUGCAUCUCUUCUUGCUUAAGUUUUACAUCUUGUAAUUCUUUGCUCAGUGUUUGUUGUAAAUUGUCCAUCUUUGCCUCCAGUUUAUUUCCAAUGUCUUGCAUCAUCUUCAGCAUCAACAGUCUAAAGUCUUUUUCCUGGAGGCUGAGACUCUCCAGAUCCCUUGGCUGUUCUUCUGGGGGGUUUUCUUUCUCCCUUCUCUGAGUAUAGUUGGCUGUCUUUUCCUUUUUAUAGGUUUUUGGUGUGGUGACCUUUUUUGCAGAUGCUAGAGCGGUAGCCUCUCUUACUUCUGGCGUCUGCCCCCCUUGUGGCUGAAGUUGGUCCGGGGGGCUUGCUGUGGGCUCCCUUGAUGGGAGGGAGUGGUGCCUGCCCACUGGCAGGUGGAGCUGAUCUCUAUCCCUCUGGCUUUGUCUCUGGGUGAGGUUAGAGGCGGUUGUGUGCCUGGGGGUGGGGUGGGGGGGCUGUGAUCCCACCUGGAUUGUUUGGCCUGGGGCUUCUGAGUGUUUGAUGGGUGGGUCCAGAUUUUCCCCAAAUGGCCACCUCCAGAGGAACACACGCUGAUGAAUAUUCCCAAGAGCUUUGCUUCCAAUGUCCUUCCCCCACAACAAGCCACAUUCAUGCCCUGUUUUUCCAGGAGAUCCUCCAAGACCUGCAGUCAGGUCUGACCCAGAGUCCUCUGGAGCUUUUGCUCUUCCCUGGGACCCAGCGCAGGCGGAAGUCUGUGUGUGCCUUUUAAGAAUGGGGUCUCCGUUUCCCCCAGGCCCGUGGAGCUCUUGCACACAAGCCCCACUGGCCUUCAGUGCCAGAUGCUUGGGGAGCUCUUUCUCCAAUGCCAGAUCCCCAGGCAUGGGGACUUGACGUGGGGCUCAGAACUCUCACUCGUGUGGGUGAGUCUCUGUGAACCAGUUCCUUUCCAGUCUGUGGGGCGUUCCACCCGGGAGGUAUGGGGUUGCUUCUAUGGCAUAAUCGCCCCUCCUACCUCUUGAUGUGGCCUCCCCUUUGUCUUCUGGAGUGGGAUAUCUUUUGGAACGUUUCCAGUCCAUUUGGUUGAAGAUUGCUCAGCAUUUGGUUGUAAUUUUGUUGUUUUUAGGAGAGAAGUUGAGCUCCAGUCCUUCUAUUCCACCAUCUUAAUCCCGUCUCCUCUGGGUUUCCCACUGUCAGUCCUUUGGGUUCUGCAGUUCCUGCCGGUCAGGCAAAAGUUGCUGUCUUUUUGAGGCUCCUGCUAGCUCUGCAGCAUGGCAGAGACGUUUCCCCAGGACUCUCAGCUCUGCCUCGGGAGCAAGGGGUCCCGGCAGGUGCUCUUCCUUAUCCCACACUCGCCCCAGAACUCCAAGGCCUACACUCAGCCCCUCAGCAGCCUUCGGGGUCCCCUGAUGCCCCCACCAGCUGAACCAGGAGGCAGAGGCAGCAGGCCCCAGCAAGGAGCACAACCAGCUCUGCAAGGUUGAUGCCAACCAGCGCUGAGUUGUAAUAGAGACUUCGUGAUCUAAAGAGUAGACAUUAACUAUGUGAUUUGGUGGGAAGAGUGGAUGGGUUCCUGUGUGUGUGUGUGUGUGUGUGAGAGAGAGAGAGAGAGAGAGAGAGAGAGAGAGAGAGAGAGUGGGGGAGGGGAGAGAGAGCAGGGGAGGGAGAGAAGGACACAAAGGAGGGCAUGAGAAGAAAGGCUGAAAUGAAAACAAGAGCAGGGAGUUCCCUGGUGGCCUAGCAGUUAUGGAUCUGACGUUAUCACUGCAGUGGUUCUGAUUACAGCUGUGGUGCAGGUUUGAAUCCUGGCCCGAGAACUUCCACAUGCUGUGGGCCCAGUCAAAAUUAAAAAAAAAAUAAUACUAAUAAAUUAAAUUAAGACAGAGCAGAGAUCACCAUCCCUAAGUUAAAUAAGAAUUGGGUUGUGAGGGAGCAUGAUGGAGGAUAAUGUGAGAAAAAGAAUACAUGUGUGUAUGACAGAUUCACUUUGCUGUAGAGUAGAAAUUGACAGGCCACUGUAUAUCCAUUAUAAUGGAAAAAAUAAAAAUCAUUAAAAAAAAUGGGGGUGGGCGUUCCUGCUGUGGCACCAUGGGUUAAGAGUCCUACUGCGGUGGCUCAGGUGUCUGGGCGGUGAGGGUUUGAUCCCCGGCCAGGCACAGUGGGUUAAAGGAUCCAGUAUUUGGCGCAGCCAUGGCGUAGGUGGCAGCUGCCACUCGGAUUCAGUCCCUCGCCUGGGUGUGGCCAU
Molecule: long non-coding RNA, 5507 nt
Filed under: Sus scrofa (pig)
Lineage: Eukaryota; Metazoa; Chordata; Mammalia; Artiodactyla; Suidae
Description: lncRNA (ENSSSCG00040022554.1)
Source: RNAcentral